GGGUGCGAUUAUACCAGCACUAAUGCACUGGAUCCCAUCAGAACUCCGCAUUUAAACGUGCUUGGGCGAGAGUAGUACUAGGAUGGGUGACCUCCUGGGAAGUCCUCGUGUUGCACCCCCAA
RNAcentral lists this ribosomal RNA (122 nucleotides) under Arabis alpina (gray rockcress). The record is from RNAcentral. Lineage: Eukaryota; Viridiplantae; Streptophyta; Magnoliopsida; Brassicales; Brassicaceae.